CCGAAACACUCCUAGUGUACGUAACUGUAAGCUUUUGAUGGCAGUUUGUUUUGAAAAUAGUCACUGGAAAUGGUCAACUGACAGUGAAUAUGUCUCAUGAUAUAUUUUGGAUUACAAAUUUAUGCAGAUGAAUUACUUGGUGAAAAUAACGAAAUACAUACCCUUUGG
Molecule: long non-coding RNA, 168 nt
Organism: Wyeomyia smithii (pitcher-plant mosquito)
Lineage: Eukaryota; Metazoa; Arthropoda; Insecta; Diptera; Culicidae
Exons: 3
Source: RefSeq, a predicted model, not a curated record